Molecule: long non-coding RNA, 5984 nt
Filed under: Sus scrofa (pig)
Lineage: Eukaryota; Metazoa; Chordata; Mammalia; Artiodactyla; Suidae
Description: lncRNA (ENSSSCG00000063386.1)
Source: RNAcentral
UCCCUGGCCUUGCUCAGUGGGUUGAGGAUCCGGCACUGCCGUGAGCUGUGGUGUAGGUCGCAGAGUGGCUCGGAGCCCACGUUGCUGUGGCUGUGGUGUAGGCUGGCAGUUGUAGCUCCAGUUCAGCCUCUAGCCUGGGAACCUCCAUAUGCCGUAGGUGCAGCCCUAAAGAGACCAAAAAAAAAAAAAAAAAUUCCUAUCUAAUUUAUAAUUCUCUUAGCCUAACUUUCCCCACUUACAUAUUUGUUUAUUUAUUUGGCCACGCCUGAUGCAUGGAUAAGUUUCUGGGCCAGGGAUAAAACCAGAGCCAGAGCAGUAACCAGAGCCACAGCAGGGACAAUGCCAGAUCCUUGACCCACUGAGCCACCAGGGAACUCCCCCAUCCCCACUUUUGUUGAACAGUAUAGUUUCUUAGCAAAUUCUAUACUUAGUCAAUAUGAGACUAAGUCCCCAUUUCCCAAUUAGGUCUUGAAAAUUUGCAGCUUUGAGGGCGACGGUCAUGGGGAUUUUUUUGAAUUUUGGUCGUGGAGUCAUGAAGAUCUUUUGCAUUUUGAGGGAGAAGGUCAAUGAGCACCUUUUGAAUCACCUUAAAUUUUAGGAUGCAGUUUGUGUGUGUUUGCAGAGCCAGUAGGCAUUUUCAUAUGAAGGAUGGCUAAUUCGUAUCAGGAAUUAAACCCUUUUAUUAACGGCAGGACAUCUUAAAACAAUCACCAGUCAUUGUUAAAGUAAAGAACAGCUCAUUAUUUUUCAUAUCUUAAAGAUUGAACCCUUCACCAUGAUUAAUAAAGGAUAGUUGUUAUCUGCUUUGGUCACAAAAAUCCAUGUACAAAAGAAACACUUUGGCACAUUAAAAGUAAAAUGGUAGUGUGAACACUUGUAUCUGCGCUGCUAAUUAAAAGACUUAACUUAUUAGGCCUUGAGGGGGGAGGAAAAAAGAAACAAACAAGUAUAAUUUGCCAGAUUAAUUUUAUGGUCUGUUCUAUUUAAUCAAACUAUACCUUUUAGUGAAAAUGACAAAUCUCACUUGUCAGAAUGUGGCAGAUAAGGAAGAUAAAGGUCAUAUAUUUUAAUGUCACCGAAGGUCUUAUUAAAGGAACCUUAAUUACAUUAGGUACCCAUGAAACAUUAAUUAAAUACUGUCUGAAAUAAUUAGGUCCAAGUUACUGAUGGUUUAAUUAAACUCAGUUUCUUAUUUUAUAAGAAAACUAAAGGUCCAGUAUCUCUGUUAGCAGCAUAAUUGAUCGUAUGUCAAAAAGGCAAAAUAGUAACCUUGACCAGCCGGGGGGGAGGCCCAUGUGGCUUGCAGGGCCUCGUGCGCAUUGCCUCUUCUCCACGGUGGCCUGUGCUGCUGCGAACACCUCAUCGUGUGUGUGCCUGUGCAACCUCUCAGCUUCUGGGCAGCAAAUCAUGGGUGCCCUAGACCGGGGGAGGUGGCUACAACACAGAGCAAAUCCAUUACCUAGGGUUUUUUUGUUUUUUUUUCCUUUUUGUCUUUUUAGGGCCGCACCCACAGCAUAUGGAGGUUGCCGGGCUAGGGGUGGAAUCGGAACUGCAGCUGCCGGCCACAGCCACAGCCACAACAAUGCAGGAUCCGAGCUGUGUAUUUGACCUACACCACAGCUCAUGGCAACACAGGAUCCUUAAACCCACUGAGUGAGGCCAGGGAUCGAACCCUUGUCCUCAUGGAUACUCGUCGGGCUUGUUAAUCGCUAAAAAGUUCAUCUUGAAAAGUUGAUGCUACAUAUGCUGAAAGGUGAGAGGCCAGACAUGUGCCUAUUUUCCUUUUUGGAGCGAUAUCCCGCCUUUUGUCACCUCUGUAUAUUGUAUCUCAGAUAUACUAGACACCCUGUGUGACCACUCGCAGUCUGCACAGAGGGUAUCCUGGCAUUGAAAAAGACUGCCCCAAACUCCAUUCCCAUAUUUCUUUGUACCUCUGUGCCCUAAAAUUCAUUUUCUUCCUUAGUUGUAAUUCUUCGCAAGUAAGGUCAUGGGCCUUCGAAUCAGACUUCGGGGCUUGAAUCUCAGCUCUGCCACGGCUGUGUUACCUUGGACUCGUUACUUUGAAUUUCCUGCUCAUCUGUAAAAUAUUAUGUGCGAUAAUAGCUACUUAACAGGGUUGUUAUGAGGUAACACUUCAGUGCAUAUAAAGCAUUUAGCAUAAGUGAAGAGUAUAUGGCAGGCCCUCAAAAAAGGACACAGAACAUUCUAUAGGAUUAUGGGGAUUUGAGACCCAAGUUGAAUUAGUUGGAUGCAAGUGAAACUUUAGAAUGUGCCAGAAGGGAAAAAGAUGGUACAAAAGCAAAAAUGUAGCUGGAGAUUUUCUGGGCUGAUGAUUUGAAAUGAGCUUCAGGUCCAUUUGGUUGGUUGGUUGGUUGGUUGGUUGGUUUUAGCUCUGCUUUUUGAGUCUCGAGCUGACGGAGCCUCUCCUCCCUCCGUGGGGGGGGACACACUGAGGGGUGGCGAGAUGGGUAGGGGAGGAGAAGGGCUUUCAUCCCACUGGCCUCACUCGAGGACAGCCAGCUCUUCUUUCACUUUGAAUGAGACAGUCUUGUAGCUUCUAAAGUGCAUUGGCAUUUUUAUUGUAUUAACAUUCCUUUUUACAUCUCUCAAUAGCCCUGCGAGGCAGGUACUGCUAGUAGCUCCAUUUUACACAUGGGAACACUGUGUCACAGACAGGUUAACACACAGUUUGCUCUGGGGGUUUUGACUCUGCUUUGCUUUCUGUCCGUGACACCACCCUCUCUGAGCUCAGCCGUGUGUGUGUGUGUGUGUGUGUGUGUGUGCGCGUGCGCGCGCGCGCGCGCGUGUGUGUGCGUGUGUGUGUGUGUGCGUGUGUGUGUGUGUGUGUGUGUGUGUGUGUCUGAGCCUGUGGGCUCCAUCUCACCAGCUCCUGUGAGCUAAGAAUGGAUUUUACAGUUGUGAAGGCUUAUGAAGGAGGAGCAAGAGCAGGAGGAGGAGGAGGACGCAGGGACAAAAACUUAAAGUAGCUGAAAAGCCUCUUUAGGAUCAGGCUGUAACAGAAAACAUUUGCUGCCCCCGAUUUAGUGCAGCACUUCCUCAACUUUCAUGCGCACGUGAAUCCCGCUGGGGCACGUUUCCAGGUGCAGGUUCUGAUUCGCUGGGUCUGGGGCAGGGCCUGAGAGUCUGUGUCUAACAAACUCCCAGGGGGUGCCCAGGCUGUGGGUCCUUAGACCACGCUGUGCCAAGUAAGGGCUGUGCUUCGCACCGACUCCAUCCUCCUGAACAGCCUCUCUUCCCGUAGACGCCUGUGCUGAUGACUGCUUGCCAUCAGCAUCCUAAGGAAUUUAACUCUUUUUAUUGUUCAUAGCAGGUGGACUUUCAGCCCUUCACCUUUAAAACAUCCUAUACCUUUUCCGUCCCGAUUGGCAAUGGCUUCUACCUGCUACCUCUGCCAGUCUAUUACCUUCAUACGCCAGGAGUGGGGUGCUCGGUUGGGGAGACAGCCUGGCCUCCAGGCAUGCCUUGCUGAGGCCCACCCAUGCUGCCCGAUCCGGGCUCAGUCAGUCCCUUUCCUCCUGUCUCUAUAGUUGCAAGUCGCAAUUCCAUGCUAAGUGUCUCCCUAGGAACUGGCACUUGGAACUAUGGAGACAGGAAACCUGGAGACCAGGGACUGUGUCCCUGGCGGUCUCCCCAACAGCAAAUCUACUGGGGAAGCCCAAAGACUAUGACUUCUGCCAUUUCUGUUUCACAUACUAUCUUGUUACUAGUAAGCAUAUUAAUUGCAUGUAUGACAAAUUCUCAUGUAGUACAGUGGUUGGUACUCAGUAAUCUUUCUUAGUUCAAAGAAAAUACUGUGCUUGGCUGGACGGGAGCGCUGCGGUCCUUCCUCCCGGCAAGAAUCCAUCAUUGCUUCAUCGGCAAAGAAGCAGUUUGCAAGGAUAGGUCUUCUUUUUCUUAUUCCCUCCGUCACUUGCCUUCGUCCACGCAGCUCGCCUUGUUUCCUUUCUCGCGCUUUCUGUCAACUUACAUAUUGACAGGUUUGUUUGCCUAGAGUAACUCAGUCCCCCUGGCUCCACUUGGAUGCAGGAUGUUUGAAUUCAGGGAGGACCGGGUAUCAUCUUUCUAAGCCCCCCGCCCCGGUGAGGCAGGCAGGUCAUACAAGCUGGCAUUUCCCAAAGCCAUAGAAAACUUUCCCUAGGAAUUGCCUCUUGGGGGUUUUAAUGCUAAGAUAAGUCAGUCUCGUGUGAAUUACCUUGAUAGGGAAUGCAGAGCAGUUCAGCAAACUCAAUACUUUUUUUUCAUUUGAAGUAACAGAAAUCUUCAAUGAAAGGUAUCUGGAAUCCGUGGCCCGGGCCCUGCUGGGACCCUUGUUCACCUGAGGACAGAAAAAAAGGCUCUUUCAGAGCUUUAGAGUCCCCUGCAAAUGCAGGAGAUUAUUUGCUGCAGCUCCUCGAGAACCCUCAGGAGGCGCACACACCAGCACUGGGAAAGAAGGGCCAUUCCAAAUGAGCAUAUUCAUUUUUCAUUCCAGCCUGGCAAAGGGCAAAACAAGCCAAAGUGGACCAACCCCCUUGUAAAUACGCCCUUUUCACAGAGCCUUCACUCUUGGCACAGCGGGCAGGUGGUGGGAUUGGCUGUCACUGCCUGUUGCUGGAAAGCGGCCCCAGGUGAGUGUGGUGGAGAAGGACGGGAUGCAGACGGUGCCCCCUCGCGGGGCAAGCGCUCCCCCCCACCCCCCGCCAGCAGCCCCGCAGAGCAGCCGGAUUGACUUUUCUCCGAAGAGACUUACCUGCUCUCCUGCCCACUUUGCCAUAAAGAUCUUUCCGAAAAAGAGAGUGGCCAAUGAAUUAUGGAGCAGGAAUGUAAUAACGAAGGUAGAAAUGUGUCCUGUUAUCAGUCACACACAUUCAAGCCCAGCCCGGGGCAGCACAGUAGCGGGACUAUAAGCUCUGGGAUCUUCUCAUUCAACCAAGAUUGCUUCAUACAAAAGUUGACAAUACUUGCCUGAAAGCCAUUAUUGAUAUUCAACAUUUUUUAAAAUAGCUGAACAGAGUAGACAAUAAGGCAUGGCAGAAAACUUGGACAGGAAGCCGGCCUGGAGUCUGGCUUAAGAAAGACACAUGCUAUUAAAAGUAGACAACAAACACGCAUUUCUGAAUGUUUAAUUUAUUCGAAAAUAAGAAUCAACUUUACCAUUCAUUUAUUUUCCUCCUCUAAAGCAACAGAGACAAGCAGAAGUCCAUUUCGGAUGCUCGGUAGGGUAUCUCUGCCGUCCUCCUUGUUCACACUGAAAUCCUCCUGCACCCGGACUCCAUGAUCCUCACUUACAAUUGGAUGAGGCGGGGAGGGACUAAGAGAAGCCUUGAAUGGCCUUUUAGGAAAGAAGUGGAGCAUCUCAAGGUGUCCCAGAGCCAUCAUAAAAUCAUCCAUUCACUCAUUCGGCAUAUCUGCUGAGAAGCCGCAGUGUGCCAGGGGCAUACAAACAGUAAACAGGACAACACCGUCCCCGCUAGAGUCACCAUUUGUCCCCAUUUGCCCGACACUCUCCUGGUGCUAGAAAUCCACGGAUUCCAGAGAUAGCUGGGGGUGGGGGGUGAUUUCUGGUGCCAGACCUGCUCCUUACCAGCUCUCUGAUCUCCAUCAGGACACUCUGCCGAGCUCUUGCUUUCUCUCUUAUAGACAGGAAAAGUAGUAUCUAUCUCAAAGAAUUAUUUGAAGAUUAAAUCACGUUUGGUUCCUGAUUCUGUAGGAACUGCCUGCCUGCCUGCCAUGGCAGCUUUUCAGCCAGCAGUGGAAGAGGGGGAGGUAUCUGGAGAUGUCACAUUGGCCCUGGAAAUAGGAAGGGCUGCUCUCUGCUCUGCCGAAGCAGAGUGGAACCUGCCAGGAAUCGGGCUGUAAUAUCUUGUUACUGGUGUUUAGAUGAGGUAGGGUCUGAGGACCACAGUGCUUUGAUGAGGAAGGGGACCCACAACCCCCAGGGAGACCACCAGCUGGCAGCUUAACCACUUUGUCUGCUGGCAGAU